UGUCUCUGCGCUGGGUAGAAUUAGCAUGAAGAUAGUGGUGCUCAUCUCAUAGAAACCAGAAAAUGCAAUUCCUUCUCUAUAUCAGCUUGGCUUUUGCUUUGUGCCCAUGCCUGACUCAUGCCCUGGACAUAGAU
Molecule: small nucleolar RNA, 134 nt
Organism: Suncus etruscus (white-toothed pygmy shrew)
Lineage: Eukaryota; Metazoa; Chordata; Mammalia; Eulipotyphla; Soricidae
Product: small nucleolar RNA SNORA48
Exons: 1
Source: RefSeq, a predicted model, not a curated record